This 451-nucleotide ribosomal RNA is filed under the name uncultured bacterium. Its description in RNAcentral is "partial 16S ribosomal RNA". It matches the Rfam family "Bacterial small subunit ribosomal RNA", at positions 29 to 523 of the family's 1533-position model. The record is from RNAcentral.
AGCGAACGCUGGCGGCAGGCCUAACACAUGCAAGUCGAACGGGCCCCUUCGGGGGUCAGUGGCAGACGGGUGAGUCACACGUGGGAACGUACCUUUCGGUUCGGGCUAACCCGGGUAAACUCGGGCUAAUACCGGAUACGCCUUUCGAGGGAAAGAUUUAUUGCCGAGAGAUCGGCCCGCGUCGGAUUAGCUAGUUGGUGAGGUAACGGGUCACCAAGGCGACGAUCAGUAGCUGGUAUGAGAGGAUGACCAGCCACACUGGGACUGAGGCACGGCCCAGACUCCUACGGGAGGCAGCAGUGGGGAAUAUUGGACAAUGGACGAAAGCCUGAUCCAGCCAUGCCGCGUGAGUGAUGAAGGCCUUAGGGUUGUAAAGCUCUUUCGGCGGGGACGAUAAUGACGGUACCCGCAGAAGAAGCCCCGGCUAACUUCGUGCCAGCCGCCGCGGUAA